AGGCAGAGGAUAUAUGUUUUAUCAGUGAAAUCUAGUAGUUUACCGAGCCUGUCUUUGGUUUAGAUACUUCUUUAUUGAAUAGUACAUACAAUGGAAGGAAAAGAAAAUACCAUCAGCAAUGGGGGAAAAUUGGCAUGCUGUUCGCGAAUCCAUCCCAAAACCUCAUUUGCCAUCACAUACCACAGAGAAAGGGACUGACCAAUGUCUCCUGCCUUCAAUAGCCUGGAAACAGACGGUCUAGGAAUGAGAUUUCCCGGAUAUAAUGGGAAAAGCAUCCAAAAGAAGAAAAUAAAAGUGAUAGUGAAAAUGGAAGUGACACAAAAGAAAAUGAAGCAUUCAAGAAAAGCUGUCAAAAAUGAGAGGUCAUAUUUUCCUAUAAGCCUCUUGCCAUAUCAGUGGAAAGUGGAAGACGCGUUGA
RNAcentral lists this small RNA (418 nucleotides) under Histoplasma ohiense. Its description in RNAcentral is "hypothetical lncRNA". Lineage: Eukaryota; Fungi; Ascomycota; Eurotiomycetes; Onygenales; Ajellomycetaceae. The record is from RNAcentral.